This 89-nucleotide unclassified non-coding RNA is filed under the name Kaistella antarctica. RNAcentral's name for it is "Chryseobacterium antarcticum Flavo-1 RNA". The record is from RNAcentral. Lineage: Bacteria; Pseudomonadati; Bacteroidota; Flavobacteriia; Flavobacteriales; Weeksellaceae.
CUUUUGCGAUAGGGAUCGAAACGGAAAUCCCGGAAUAAGCGAAGGGAAGGCAACGGCAUGAGGAAUUGCAGUGGAGAGCCCGACCCGAG